Bos taurus (domestic cattle) is the source of this 1432-nucleotide long non-coding RNA. The record is from Ensembl. Lineage: Eukaryota; Metazoa; Chordata; Mammalia; Artiodactyla; Bovidae.
ACCCUGGAGUGGCCGGGUCAGGACGCAUAGCCCUCCUCUUGGCGCUGCCUUCGCCCCCCACCUCCGAGUGCCCCCACUUGCCCUGGUCCCGGGGUUCCCAUGUACAGGGGGAUACGAGUUCCUCCUGGGAUCAGCGCUCUGUUCACUGCCCCCUCAAAAAAAAGCCUGGGCUCCUGGUGCGGCUGCACCCGACUCGCAGCAGCGCACCCCUCCUCUUGCUGACGCCCCAGGGCCCGGGAGAGACCGGCGACGGGGAGCGCAGGCGACGCCCGGCGCCGGGAUGCUCCAGCGUGCCUCCGGGUGCGCGGGGUGCGCAGGGGGGCCCCGGCGCCCUGCGCGGUCAGCGGUGGUGGGCAGGGGUGCCUGGCGUGCUCCGGUCGCCCGGCGCCCGCGCUACCUCGGGGAGACCUCUGCCGCCGCCCGAGCGCGCAUCCCGGCCCGGGGGCGCUCCCUGCCGGCCGCCGCGCGCACCAGCCAGGCUGAGCCCCGGCAGCAGAGCUGCGGGCGCCUCUGUCCCCCCACCCCCAGGGCGGGCCAGGCCUCCGGUGCUGCGGCUCCAUCACCCACGCCCUCGGGGCUGAGCUGCCUCACUGCGCAGGCGCGGAGGUGCGCACCUGCUCCUUUGAGACGCUCACCUGUCCUUGUUCUUACCGGCAGGAGGGUGAGUGUUUGGCGCGCCUCCAUGCUGGAAUCUCAGAGUCCAGGAGCCUUGCAUCUCCAUAGAGCGGGGACCCCACGAGGAACCUGGCCAGCAGGGCUGGAAGGUCUAGGACCCUUAACCAGGCUGGAGAGCUUCUAGAGGCGCAGAAAGAAGCUCAGAGUCCCAGUGGAGGCAGCUGCAGGAGUUUGCUGGAAACAUCUGGAAGGAUAUCUGGUGUGAUGGGGAGGGACAGGCCCGCCAUAAAACAUAUCCACCCCGCCGGGGCUCCUCCGAGCCAGACAAAUCGCCCACGCUCUGGGGGAUGAUAACUCUGCCACCAAUCUUCCCUCCUGUCAGCACAAAACUGUUCAAUCAACAGGAGUGUGAGCUGUGUCUUUUGUGAAAUUAGCACAGGAGGAAAUACAACCUGGGCUGGGGACUGGGGCCGUGGGUGCAGGAAGGGGCCAAACCACUGUGGGCGAUGACCUUGAACACACGCCUUGCCUGCCGGCUUCUCGGCCUGAGUCUGGGUCUUAGGAGGGCACAUCCGUGAGACGGCAAGCAUACUGCCCAGGAGGAAACCAAGGCCACCAAGACGCCGGGCUGUGUGGUCUCCUCCUUCCCACGGUGAGAGGCUGAGUCCCAGUCUGGGAGCUCAGACCCUGGCAGCUCCGCGUGGACUCUGCACCCUGAGGUCCUCACUCACAGCCACUGGGGAUGAGACCUCCAGCUCACAGGUGGAGGCUGGACACCUAGGGAGGUUACGUAGAUUAGCCCACCCACUGAGGAGCC